Molecule: small nucleolar RNA, 124 nt
Organism: Panthera pardus (leopard)
Lineage: Eukaryota; Metazoa; Chordata; Mammalia; Carnivora; Felidae
Source: Ensembl
GUGUGGUGAUGGAUUAAUGGCAGGCCCUUCUCUGUGGGCCUCAUAGUAUACCAGUGCCAGAGGAGCAGGCAGCCUUGAACCCCCUGUCUGUUGGGCUGUGAGCACUGAAGGGAGUAAUACAGUG